UUCUUUUAGGUGUUGGUCUAGGUUCUUCUGGUUGUG
This 36-nucleotide non-coding RNA is filed under the name Plasmodium falciparum 3D7. Lineage: Eukaryota; Apicomplexa; Aconoidasida; Haemosporida; Plasmodiidae. The record is from RNAcentral.